This 445-nucleotide ribosomal RNA is filed under the name uncultured bacterium. RNAcentral's name for it is "partial 16S ribosomal RNA". It matches the Rfam family "Bacterial small subunit ribosomal RNA", at positions 354 to 796 of the family's 1533-position model. The record is from RNAcentral.
GUGAGGAAUAUUGGUCAAUGGAGGCAACUCUGAACCAGCCAAGUCGCGUGAAGGAUGAAGGUCUUAUGGAUUGUAAACUUCUUUUGCAAGGGAAUAAAGUGGGGGACGUGUCCUCCUUUGCAUGUACCUUGCGAAUAAGGAUCGGCUAACUCCGUGCCAGCAGCCGCGGUAAUACGGAGGAUCCGAGCGUUAUCCGGAUUUAUUGGGUUUAAAGGGUGCGCAGGCGGGAUGUUAAGUCGGCGGUGAAAUUUUGCAGCUCAACUGUAAAAGUGCCUUCGAUACUGGCUUUCUUGAGUGUGGAUGAAGUAGGCGGAAUUUGUGGUGUAGCGGUGAAAUGCUUAGAUAUCACGAGGAACUCCGAUUGCGCAGGCAGCUUACUAAACCACUACUGACGCUCAUGCACGAAGGCGUGGGGAUCAAACAGGAUUAGAUACCCUUGUAGUCC